UUAAUGUUAAAAGCCUCCGAGUACAUUGAGAUUUAUAAGUACUAGUACUAAUACUACUACUACUACUAAUACUACUAGUACUACUAUUAGUUCUACUACUACUACUUCUACUACUAUUACUACUGUUACUAUUACUGCUACAGCUGCUACUGCUGUUAAUGUUACUACUACUACUAUUACUACUAUUUUUACUACUGCUACUAUUACUGCUAGUACUACUAUUGCUAAU
RNAcentral lists this long non-coding RNA (229 nucleotides) under Carica papaya (papaya). RNAcentral's name for it is "long non-coding RNA (CPAP_LNC011961)". The record is from RNAcentral. Lineage: Eukaryota; Viridiplantae; Streptophyta; Magnoliopsida; Brassicales; Caricaceae.